GAGUGGGGGAUGGAGGAAGUCAGGAGGCAUCCUGGGCACGAGCCAGGGUAGACGUGGGUGUUUGAUGUGGGCAAGUGAGGCGGGCUGGGUCAGCCAGUGCUCUUGUUUUCUAGGGUUUUCUCUGCUUGCUCUAGCUACCCCCUCAACCUCUAGUUUCUUUCUUCCCUUUUCUUUUCUUUUCUUUUCUUUUCUUUUCUUUUCUUUUCUUUUCUUUCUUUUUUGUUUUUUUUUUUUGUUACCCAAAGUUUUUCUUUUUUAAGCAGUAUUUUAUUAGAAAAGGUUUAAAAUUAUUUUUGCCCAUUUUUACCCUCUCCCUGGUUUACUUUAGCUGGAAUUUUUAUUCAUGUAUUUUUGAGUAGGCAAUGCAUGCACGCUCGUGUUCUUACCUAAAAGGAGUGUAAGAAAGCUGGGUGGGGGAGACACAAGCCUUUUACCCCAUCACGUGGGAGGCAGAGGCAGGUGGAUCUCUCUGAGAUUAAGGCCAGCCAGGUUCACAGUGUGUUCCAAGGAGCAGCAUAGUGGGACCCUGCCUCAAAAAAACAAAAACAAAACAAAACCAAAAACCAAAAACCAAAAACAAAACCAAAAUGUAAUCAGGUCUGGAUUAAGUCCGAACGCUCCCCACAUCUGGGUUCUGUGUAUGCCCUCCACCAGUGUUAACUCUUUCGUCAACUGCCCACAGCUGAGCUGAGCCCAUCUUGAGCCUUUGGCUUCAGCCCCCCUAGCAUGGAAGCCUUGCCAGGGCCAUAGGCAUCCCCUCCAGACCAGGCUACCCAUCUUCAGAGAAGGCAGAGGCUGCAGGCUCAGGGAUAUCUCAGCUCUGGAUUCUGCCCAGCCGUUCCCAAACCUGCAGUUCUAAGUGUUGCGGCUUCUAACUCCAGUCAGAGCCUUCCACGCUGUUCUUCAUCUGGCUCUCUGUGGUUUCUCAGAGUUGUUUUGAUCCCGAGACCAUGAGUCUGCACGUCCCCCUCCCAUCACGUAAGGGAGAGUCUUUUUUCUGGCAGAGAGGAGUGUGUAAGUUAGGAAACACAGGUGCUUUGAAUUGCACAGUUCUUGGAAUUAACAGUCUUGGAGCUCAGAUGAGAUUUUUAAGGAUUAUCUAUGUUCCUUUUUUUUUUUUUUUUUUAAAAAAAAAAUAGGUAUACAGAGAAUUCAUCCCUAGAAAGUAACGUAUAAUGUCACAUCUCCACCCCUGCAACACACAAUGUCCUCACACUCAAAGGAACCCCGGUGGAAUAGUAUGUGGUAGAUUGUGACAUUCUGUGAGGCUCCUCCCCCAACCAAUAUCCUGGAAGAGGAGGGAAACGCUCGAUUCAGCUAUGAGAGGAAUGCUUGCGCCUUGGGCAUCCACAGUAGCUGGAUUGUGGGACUGUGUGCCCUGCCUAGGCCCGGGGCUGACUUCUUAGCUGGCCUUCAAAGGACAGAUCGCCAUUGAACUCUGGGCAAUACCCAAAAGUAGCUCGAGGAAGCCGAGAGCUGUGUUUCUGCAGUGCGCACCAUCGAUCCAUAGCAUUUGAAGCUAUUUUUCUCUGCAAGCGUCCACAAAAUUCAUUACUUUACAAUGAGCCUGGCAGGGACUGCGGCAGCAGGGAAACUCUACACGGGUCCCAGGCGCUCUCUCUCUCUCUCUCCUGGAAUUUCGCCUUGGCAGGUAAAUCAAAUACCCAGUAAACACACUUGUGAACUUCUCCAAAGCCGCUUCUGUCCGUGGCCUUGGCUGUCCCUCGCGGGUGGCCUUUCAUUUUCCUGGGCUUGGCCUGCUUCCCCCAUGCACUGGGGUUGAGCCCUGUGGCUGUACAGGUAUGGCCAGCUAAUCCUGCCAGACAAGGUCAGAAACAAUUAAUGGGCAUAAUCUCUCUUUUUUUUUUUUUUUUUUUUUUUACCUGCUAGAGCCAGACUUUCUUUGGUGUCUCUCCUAAGUCUGGAGAAAGGACUGAGAGGAGAAUUGAACUUACCCUUCGGAUGCACAUACCCAUUCACUGCUCUGUGCUGCCCCCCACCCCGCCCCCGGGCUGCUCGUUAUGAACGCUGAAGCCUUAGGUGGCGGUUAUGUUGGAGAUGCUGCUUAAAUGCUAUCUCUCGCGCACUGCCCGAUAGCAGUCUGCCUUGUUGCCGCCUCGGGGUGCUGGCCCCCUCCUCAGAUCCCUAUCUUACCUUGCUGUACACAAAAGAGCUCCUCUCUGGGGGUUCUGAGUUUUGGUUCUC
Molecule: long non-coding RNA, 2205 nt
Filed under: Mus musculus (house mouse)
Lineage: Eukaryota; Metazoa; Chordata; Mammalia; Rodentia; Muridae
Description: predicted gene 42939
Source: RNAcentral